GGUCCACCCUGCCAAUUCAGCGGCCGUUGGAGGAAAUGCUUUCAAAAUAGAAUGCGUGGAGCCUGGCAGGCCAGCACAGGAAGACAUGCCAAAGCUUGCAAGCUCCCUAUCAGAGACAGGGUGGAUCCCGCAUGCUAAAUCAUAGCUUUUCAAAAGUGGACCCGGGUGCCAAUGGUGAACUCCAGGAAUGCAAAUGGAUUGUUGAAGUUAAGCACUUAAAGUUUCACAGUCCUUCUACUUGCUUCUGUCACUGAGCAGGACCAAUAUUCCUAAAGACAUGAGGCUGGUGAUGUAUUUCUAGAAGAAGCAUCAUAAGCAAGUCAUUGUUUUUGCCUGCUUGACCUUGACCAUCCUGAUGCCAGCAAUUACCCUGUUUACUGCUAUCUAAAAAGAAAAAUGCUGUGUGGAAGGUCUUGUCUACUGUUAUUUGAACAUUUGGAGAAGUCAUGGAAGAAAAAUAAAAGUUGAUUAAUGUGAUCAGGAGAGAGCAAAUGGAGAGAACUUCAAUAGCAAAUUUUUUCCUUAACAUACAGGUAGUUUUGACCUAAGUCUGUUUGUUAGGCUAUGUUGAAUUAGUGGGUGGGCAAACAACAACAAAAGAUGAUCUCUCAUGCUUCCAGACAAACCCACACUGCAUCUCCACCUCCUCAGCUCACAAGGAAGUUGUUGACUGACAGACUCAGUGUACGAAGCUGCCCAGCCCUGCCAAAUGCUGGAUUUGGAGCUAGCAGGAGGUGCUUUUGGGUGUUCUGUUGGGAUCUCCCUAAUCAUUUUUUCAUAGCCUCUCUGAAUUUGCUCUUGCCAUCUGCCCAGGUCUAUGGUAAAAUGCACACUUGGAAAGGUUGCAGUCAACUCUACUUCUAAGAUCAGCGAGCAUGUGAUACGCUUCCCCAUCCUCCUCUGCCCCCUUCCUGCUCUCAUUGCCUCCCUGGAAGGCAGUGAGAAUGUCUACUUCACUGGAAGAAAUCUUAAAGCCCAGAGAGUAUUUGCUGCAUCUUCUGAUCAUUCAAUAACUGUUAAAGAAGAACUGGAGUUUCCUCUGUCCUCCUCACAACUCCUAAAUGUGGAAUCACUUCUCCUUAUCGGUGAUCAACUUUCA
This is a long non-coding RNA of Mustela erminea (ermine), 1099 nucleotides long. RefSeq lists it as uncharacterized. The transcript is spliced from 4 exons. The record is from RefSeq and is a predicted model, not a curated record. NCBI's taxonomy places the organism in Eukaryota, Metazoa, Chordata, Mammalia, Carnivora, Mustelidae.